UACGAAGGGGGCUAGCGUUGUUCGGAAUUACUGGGCGUAAAGCGCGCGCAGGCGGUCUUCCAAGUCAGUGGUGAAAGCCCGGAGCUCAACUCCAGAACUGCCUUCGAUACUGGGAGCUCGAGUCCGGGAGAGGUGAGUGGAACUGCGAGUGUAGAGGUGAAAUUCGUAGAUAUUCGCAAGAACACCAAAUGGCGAAGGCGGCUCACUGGCCCGGUACUGACGCUGAGGUGCCGAAAGGACGUGGGGAGCAAACAGG
Molecule: ribosomal RNA, 256 nt
Filed under: uncultured bacterium
Lineage: Bacteria
Description: partial 16S ribosomal RNA
Rfam family: Bacterial small subunit ribosomal RNA
Source: RNAcentral